UACGUAGGGUGCGAGCGUUAAUCGGAAUUACUGGGCGUAAAGCGUGCGCAGGCGGUUUUGUAAGCCAGAUGUGAAAGCCCCGGGCUUAACCUGGGAAUGGCAUUUGGGACUGCAAGGCUUGAGUGCGGCAGAGGAGACUGGAAUUCCUGGUGUAGCAGUGAAAUGCGUAGAGAUCAGGAAGAACAUCGGUGGCGAAGGCGCUCUGCUGGACCAUAACUGACACUCAGGGACGAAAGCUAGGGGAGCGAAUGGG
Molecule: ribosomal RNA, 253 nt
Filed under: uncultured bacterium
Lineage: Bacteria
Description: partial 16S ribosomal RNA
Rfam family: Bacterial small subunit ribosomal RNA
Source: RNAcentral